UUUUUUUUUCCCAUUUGCACAAAUAAUGUGUUCUUUCUUCUGAAAAUAAGUUUUAGCAUUUUUGAAAUGCAACAUUUUCUGUUCAUUAACCAUUCACUACACUGAACAUUUUAGUAUAUCCCCUAGAACAUUUUAAUAUACCACCUGACAAGAAGGAGGGAAAACCAGAGCAUUUUAGUAAAAAAGAAAGCACAGAGCAGUUUCCAAUGACUGAAGCAACAAAUGAACACCCGCCUCAGAGCUGCAAGCCUGCAAUGGUGUAAUCUUUCCUGGAGACUGCUGCUACAUUGUACAGUAUAAAGAAAAAAAGACAACACGGGGAAGAUUGUGAACACAAGAUUUUAUCAGCCUAGAUAGGUUGCUGAUUAGAUAGGAAGACCUUUGACUAUAAAUUGUUCCUUUCAGCCCUGCGUGAGUAAUGGACACAAUUCUUCCUUUCUGUGCACCAGCUGAACAGGAAGCCACUCACUUUAUUUCACUUGGUUGAUUCAGAUUCUGCAGAGAGCAGAAGUUGGUCAGAUGUGAGUCAUUCUGUUUGCCUCCUGCUGUCAGCCCCAGGAGGAAAGCCUCUCUGCUGCUGCACCACCUGAACUUCUGAAGAACCACAGUUGUUAAAAAACAUUGAACCUUGGAGACCCAAGACAGUCAAUCCUGAGGUUUCACACAAGACAGAGGAAUAGAGGGACUAACUCCAGAGGGAGCAGUGAGAAGCAAAGGUACUGAUAUGCUGGUAGUGGUCUUCCCACCAGGGUAGAGGCAGACUGACAGCACAGUGUAGGGAAGCUCAUUUUGCAAUUGUUCCCCAGCUCAUCCUCACCGAGCCCGAGCCAUCAGGCCAUGGUCCGUGCACACCACUCCAUCACCAGAAGAUCCAGAUGAAGAGGCCUUCAAACCCAUGCAGCAGAAACGGUGAAUCUGUGAGCAUGGCCAGGGCGCUUCAGGUUCCUACAUGGCAGAAGUCCUACUGCGCAGGUCAGCAGUUCUGCUGGCUGACAGUCAAGACCACCUCCAAUUACCUGCGAGACAACCAAGUGUGCAGAAAGAAGGUGGGUUGCAAAGGUCUCAGCUGCACUUCUGACUGUCCUGCAAGGGGUGUAUGAACAUCACUAAAGAAGUCCAAAAGCAUAUGGGACUUAACCAGCUGGU
This 1146-nucleotide long non-coding RNA is filed under the name Anser brachyrhynchus (Pink-footed goose). RNAcentral describes it as "lncRNA (ENSABRG00000012353.1)". The record is from RNAcentral. Lineage: Eukaryota; Metazoa; Chordata; Aves; Anseriformes; Anatidae.